AUGCCUGUUCAAGUCGUCUUUCGAGUCCAAUCUGCGCGGCGGACGUAGGGUGUUGCCGUGCUGGAAAUCGCCGUUGGGUGGAACGGAGUCUUGGCUCUUUGGUGACAGGACAGGACAGGAGGAGGAAAUGGUCGUGGAUGACGUUCUUGGCUCUGGAUCAUCGGUCUUUGCCGGUAACGGAUUUGGGAAGCAGGGACCGAGUCUUCAUGCACACUGCGAGGAGUAAUUGAUGAGAAGUUCUCGGUUCAGGGCAUCGAUUGGAUCUUGGAGAACGAAGAUCCAUCUGUGUACUUCUGGAGGCCGUAGAUCAAAGUUGAAAACCACCAAGGAUCAGAGUCUUGCAAGAGUCAUGGUGGCACAUUUUGUGGUUGUAAUGAAAAAACUAAGUGAAGUUGGACUUGAGAAGAUAUAGGUUCUAAUUUGAAUCAGAAAGCAGCCACCGAGAGGGGGCAGUUGCUGUAAGAUGAUUCGAACUUCAUUUGCUGGGUAAGAAUGAAGUGCAUCAUCAAAUUUCUCAAAGGAGUGAGAAUAGCAUGGAUAAGGGCCCCCAGUAGAACAGGAGACAUUCCUUUGUCUUAUUCUGAGCUGCUUUGCCUCUGUAGACUUUAGUACUCUUCUGGAUUACCUCUUUCUACUGGAACUCUUUGUAUAGGAUUUUCAACAGAUGUCUGUUCUGACUACAGGGGUGGUGUAAGCAUUCUUGGAGGACAUCUAAGUGGCUCACUUAAAGUUACUCCCAUAAAGAAAAGGAGAUUUCUACUCGCUCAUUCUCCAUCAUCUCCACUAUCUUAUUCAGAUGAUUCUGAUCAUCUAUCAGACACAGCCAGCCUGCUUCAUACCAGGAGCAUUUAUCAUAUGAUAAACUUCAUGACAAAAGAUUUGCUGCAGAUUUCUCUGGUAUUUUGAUAUUUGCCACUGUUGCCUGAAAUAGUGAAAUGGUGGGUGCCACUAUGAUUAAAGGGGACGUGGAUAUGGAUAAAAUUUCUUAUAAACAAAUGUCCUUACGGAAAUUGUAAGGUCCCAAUGGAAACUUCUUCAUUUAUGCAUGCUGAAGAUGAAAUUACAUUUGGUGGAUCCCAGAAUGGAAAAAAAAACUCCACUUACUGAUAUCAGCAAAAUGUUUCUGAUGAAAAAAAGGCCUUCAUCUUACUCGGCGUCACUAGGACCUUGAUGCUGAUACGGAUGCAUGAAAUAAUCUGAUCUCUGUGCCAGUGGCCACUGAUCUUGUAGUUGGAAAUAACAAUCCCAAUGAGAAGCUGGAAGACCUCGAAAUUUGUCAGUUUCACUUAAGAGAAUGCAGCACGUCCUUCAAAGUUUGGUGAUAGCUUGCAAAUGUGGCUGGCACAGUCAUUGCUAAUGAGGUAUCAGAAAAACCUGAUAGAUGUACCUGUAAUUCUGCAGUUGAAAGUUGAUAACAACAAUUAUGUUGGUUCCAGAACCCCUAUUUCUACUCCAUUUCUCAUGGCUGUGGCAAAAACCGGUGCCAUUUUGAUAGAUGGUGACAUGGACACUCGGCAACUAGCAAAAUCUACAUGGAUAGUUGUGCAAGCUUCCAUCACAACCAUGAUGCAGAUGCACCACAAGUUGGUACUGGCCAACCCACAAAACUAGAGAUGAUGCAUCAGGUUGGUAGAUUUACAGUAUGUAUUAUAUGUUGGUGGGAGAAGAUGGAGUUAACAAGGAGGAAUUUGAAAAUGCAGAUAUGGGUCUAGCAGCCAAGAAAAUGAUAUCUUUGAAAAUGAUGUCUUUGAAGCGGUUUCUGGUUUACAUGCUUUUGCUGCCUUUUCCAUUAAGAAAAUGGUAUGCAAAAAGAGGAAAUUGUUGGUUGCUGAUGUGGCAAAUGCUCGGAAGGCUAGGCAGGUUUUUGUUUCUCAAUCCCCAUCAAAGUACUUAUCCGAAUCAGACAGUCCAAAUAAAGGACAAGGACAAGGACAGAGAGCCUCUGGAGAUGUAGGUAUACUGGAUCAUGCAAAUUAUUUGGCAUUAAAUGGCAACAAAGAAGUGUAAAUGAAGCAUAUGUGGUGCCGGUAGAAAUAAUGCGAUGAGAAACAUUUGGUUUAAUGAUGAAGAUGAUAACAAACCUUUAGCAAGUGUCAGAAUCAAAUCAUCGGGAUGGGAUCGGUUGCUUGAAGGCUGUAGGAGAUAGCUUGUUGGAUCAUGGGAUUGGCAGUGUUAAACAAGAGAACGAUGCUGAUUCUUUAGAUGUGUAUUGUGCUGAUGAAACCAUGAUAAGAUCUGGCUUGGUCAUCUAAGGGAGAUUUAUCAGCUCGAGUCAAGAGGCCAAAAUAUUCUAAUCUCACAUUAAGCAGGUCUAGUGAUCAUGAUGGUCUAGAUGCAAAAGCUGAAGGUAGUACUGUUGCUCCUAAAUUAUCUGGAAGGCAGUGAAUCUCUGUGGCAUAACCAACGGAUGUUCAGAGAUGAUCAAUGGUUUGAUUCUCCCAGUCGCCCCGCUGCCAGGCAUCAUGAAUGACCGGCUCACAGUGAUGCAACCAGUUAUGCUUGAAGUGCAUUUCGAACAUAAUCAAUCACAGAUCGUCUGAGCCUGCUCUGUUUAUCAGAAAUCUGGCAUUGCCUUGGUCAUGAUCUGAGGUUAUCACUGUACUCCUGGGGCACCGGAAAGAGGUAAGAUUUCCAAAGAUGAAGCCUGUGGCUUCACACUAACAAAAAUGGGGGUAUUCUUCUGCUGGUGGUAGAACACCUUCUUCCUUCCACAUUUCAAGUCCUUUUGGCAUCUCUCUGCGUAUGAGCAUCGAGAUGGAGCUUAAGAUGCGAUUGCAAAGGAUCGGGCGAGAGAAGAUAUUACAGAUGGAUAAGUUGAUAUGAUGCUUCUGGCCGGUGUAGGUUGUUUGGAAUCUGGUCGCAGUAAAGCCUUUAUAAUAAAUGUCAGGGAGGCUGUGGCAAAGUAAAUAGCAACCAUGCCCAUUAAAGUUUCAUGACUCCUCCGGGAAUCUUGGCUCUCAAUCACCUGGGGCUGCUCCACUUCAAGAAAGUUGUCAUCACUCUUUUCCGCCUCACCUGGCAGAGGGGGAAAAGAAUUACUAUGAUUCAGGAAUCCAAAUAAUUACUUACAGAUUUCGAUCCCAUCAUCAACGAUUUCUACAAGCUGGUGUUGGUGUGAUUCUGAAGACAAGAAUCGUGAAGGUUAGUUAUACCGGCAAGAACAGAAAUAUUUAUUACCCAGCAGUUGAUUUGAGAGUGGUUAGAAUUUGCACCCAACUUAACAAGAACAAGGAUUUUUACAUGAAACUAGCUAAACAUAUUUUAGCUCUCUUCUCUGCGAAGGGGGAUGAUGCAUCGACGACCAUCUUCUUCUUCAAGCUGGUAUUGCCGCACUCAUUAUCCGGUAAGCUUGAGCUCGUCUCCGUCGAUCUUUCUAUCAUAUACCGAUGCUUAACCCUCAAAAUUCACAACCGAAAGGGAAGAAGAGAAAGGUUUGCAGUCGACUCUUCAACUCUGCAAUACGAAUUAUAUUCACUUACCAAACUACACAGGGGGAAGAAGCAGUGGCUCCGAUACUUUUUCUUUCUUUCUUUUUUUUCUUUGUUAUUUUUACUUAUUUUUUCCUUUUCUUUCCUCGGGAAACUUCUAACUCUUUCUUUCUUUUUUUUGAUGCUCUGUUUCUGCCGUUCACCUUCCAGUGGUGUACUACUUAGUCUAUGUACAAUUGGCCGAUCCAAGUCUCUUCUCCACCUACGAGGAAGAGAAGAGCUGGUGGGCGAGUAGCAGAGUCGGGCUCGGCGGCGAGGCCGAUGCAAACGGGAAAGAGAAGAAGAAGUCGUCGUAGUACGAGUCAGGGACGGCGGCGGCUGCCCACAUUUGAUCGUCGAUCGCGACCUGCAUCUCCUCCGGGACGAGCGGCGUGCGGCAGAGCGGGCACGUCCGCUGGUCGUGCUCCAGCCACCGGUCGAGGCAGCCGCGGUGGAACACGUGCCGGCAGUUGCUCAGCCUCCGGACCUCCUCCGACGCCUCGAAGUCAUAGAGGCAGACCACGCAGCUGCCCCCCACGUGCUGCCCCGCCGCCGCCAGCUCCUCGUACCUCACCACCGGAAGCGCCUCCUGGAUCAGCAUCGCCGACACCGACCGAAAUCGUGGCUGCUGGAGGUUGCCGUGGUGGUGGUGGUCGUGGUCGAGAUUGCGGUGGCCGGUGUUCUCAGGCCAAGGGGCGUCGGCGUCGAGGAGGUCGCCGAGGCCCACGGCGUCGAAGGCCCGGAAGAUGAAUCGCCGCACGUAGCCGAGGAUUAAGGCUAUGUGGAGGAGAAAUCUCGGCAGCAGCAGCUCCGAGUAGCCCACCGGGAACCCCAUGUUGAUCCAAGAAGAGUAUGGCAAGGCCUCUGAGCUGGGUUUCCUCUUCCUCUCCCCCCUCUUCCUGGUCUCCUGUUGUACGGUGGGACUUGAGCUUCGCAGAUCCAAGUCUUUCUCCUCCUGUUCUCCGCUGCUCUGCUCGAGUUGUACGAGCCAGACAGGAUGGAUAGCACCUCUGGAUGAUGCUCCGGGUGGGUGCAGAGAGAGAUCCGAUCACCUUCUCCUCUGGCCCGGGCGAUAUAUAUCGUGAGGAGGAGUUUGGUAGGGCUGUGAAUCUGGUGAUGGAACUGUUAUGGUUGGAGAGGUCAUUAACAAAUGAGAUAUUGCUGUGGAAUCA
Long non-coding RNA from Musa acuminata AAA Group (dessert banana), 4639 nucleotides. RefSeq lists it as uncharacterized. NCBI's taxonomy places the organism in Eukaryota, Viridiplantae, Streptophyta, Magnoliopsida, Zingiberales, Musaceae. The transcript has 4 exons. The record is from RefSeq and is a predicted model, not a curated record.